UACUGAUGAUGCUGACCG
Molecule: non-coding RNA, 18 nt
Filed under: Arabidopsis thaliana (thale cress)
Lineage: Eukaryota; Viridiplantae; Streptophyta; Magnoliopsida; Brassicales; Brassicaceae
Source: RNAcentral